This 492-nucleotide ribosomal RNA is filed under the name uncultured bacterium. Its description in RNAcentral is "partial 16S ribosomal RNA". It matches the Rfam family "Bacterial small subunit ribosomal RNA", at positions 29 to 507 of the family's 1533-position model. The record is from RNAcentral.
AGUGAACGCUGGCGGUAGGCCUAACACAUGCAAGUCGAACGGCAGCACAGUAAGAGCUUGCUCUUACGGGUGGCGAGUGGCGGACGGGUGAGGAAUACAUCGGAAUCUACUUUUUCGUGGGGGAUAACGUAGGGAAACUUACGCUAAUACCGCAUAUGACCUACGGGUGAAAGCAGGGGAUCUUCGGACCUUGCGCGAUUGAAUGAGCCGAUGUCGGAUUAGCUAGUUGGCGGGGUAAAGGCCCACCAAGGCGACGAUCCGUAGCUGGUCUGAGAGGAUGAUCAGCCACACUGGAACUGAGACACGGUCCAGACUCCUACGGGAGGCAGCAGUGGGGAAUAUUGGACAACGGGCGCAAGCCUGAUCCAGCCAUACCGCGUGGGUGAAGAAGGCCUUCGGGUUGUAAAGCCCUUUUGUUGGGAAAGAAAAGCAGCAGGUUAAUACCCCGCUGUUCUGACGGUACCCAAAGAAUAAGCACCGGCUAACUUCGUG